Molecule: long non-coding RNA, 725 nt
Organism: Nomia melanderi (Alkali bee)
Lineage: Eukaryota; Metazoa; Arthropoda; Insecta; Hymenoptera; Halictidae
Source: RefSeq, a predicted model, not a curated record
ACUUUGAAAUGCGCGAAGCUACAUACUGAGUGAAAUCAGAAAGCUUUGUUAGUAUUUUACGAAUUUAUUUUAUAUAGUACGUAUGUUGGCAUUUUAAAAUAUUUGUUACACUUCCAAUACACAUACUACUUUACAAGAACUAGAAUUGACAUGCAUUGUUAAUAUCAUAAGCAUUAUAGAUAGUAUAGUGUAUGUACGUAUAUUAGAACACUUAUCAGUAACAUUUUGACCAAAGUUUGAGUGAAGCAUAUUAUUUUGUGCCAAGAAAGUACCGUUACCUAUAACAUUAAUAAUAAAAUUGGGUUUUUAGUAAAUAUAAAUUAUAAAGGAUUAAUUUUAUCAAAAGUAAGGAAAAAUUAAAGCAUACAUUAGGAUUUUAUGUAUCGCCCGUAAGCUGUUGCUGAGGAACGUUGUUAGCAACUCGGAAACGCGCAAAGUAAACAGCACGUAAUACCUGGGGCAAGCAGGUAACACUUUCGUAGGGCCCCCAGCGAAGCUAUUCAUGAAGUUCGUUGGCUAACGCCACUCUAGAGGUUGAAAAAUAAGAUGAUUUCCAGGAAUUUUUAAAAUAAAAACCAUGCAAAGUAUAGAAUCAAGAAUAAAAAAAGCUUUAUUGCAUAUAUUUUCGGGAAGGUUUGUGAAUUUUUUUAAACAUUUUGUGAAUCAGCGUAACGGAAAAAUAUAUAAAAAGUAUGUGCAGAGAACACUGUAGCGCGAUUCUACAC